GUUUUUCUGACGAGUCCCAAAUAGGACGAAGCGCGCGUCCUGGAU
This is a non-coding RNA of Schistosoma rodhaini, 45 nucleotides long. The record is from Rfam. NCBI's taxonomy places the organism in Eukaryota, Metazoa, Platyhelminthes, Trematoda, Strigeidida, Schistosomatidae.